Molecule: long non-coding RNA, 221 nt
Filed under: Jatropha curcas
Lineage: Eukaryota; Viridiplantae; Streptophyta; Magnoliopsida; Malpighiales; Euphorbiaceae
Description: long non-coding RNA (JCUR_LNC000751)
Source: RNAcentral
CGACUGAAUAGAUAGCUGCCAGUGUUUCACCGCAAUGACAUGAAGCUAAAGUUCUGUAGGAGCACAGACUACCAUUUCCCCAAAAAAGAUAACAGUAGAGAUUGCUUCUGCUAUAUAUUUUUUGCUUCAUCUUUUGUACAACCAUUAUCUAUUCUAUAUCCAGAAAUCAUACACGAGGAGAAGUAAAGUACAUAGCAUGCAAGCUUCAAACACAUAACACC